UUUUUGCUGCUAAAAAUUAAAGCGAAAAAAUUAAACAAACAAAAUUUUACAUAGACCUGGUGUGAAAGUGUACUUUUAUAUCAUUCAUCCUGUUGAUGUAUUUUUGGUGCUAUAUUUUAAUGUUUUUAUAGAUUGCUUUCACCAAUAUCAGAAUCUCAUUUUGCUAAAGAUAUCUGUAACAACUCUUGUUUCUUUUCAUGUUUACGGCACACUUGUAUCAAUUUGAAGAGUUUUUGCAUUUAUUUUUUUUUACAAUUUUGAAAAAUGGAAAAGAUUGAUUUCACCUCAAUUGUUGCCACUGAAGUUUCUACAGCUUAACUUAUAUGUUAGAUAGACCAUUAAAUCUUUCAAGGUAUUUAACUUCGUGAGUUUAGUCAAAAUAAAUGUUAGACAAUCAAAUCAUUGAACAGGUAAUAAUUAAAAAUGCUUUAACCCAUAUGUUUUAUGUGGCUUCAUCAAAAUUUUGUUCUUCAGCAAAAAACAAGAAAAACACACUCAUUUAAAUCACCUGUAAUAAUAUACAAGUUCUUAUUGCCAGAUUCUGUUUUUGAAGGUCAUAUGUGCUUGGUUAUUAAAUACUAAACGAAGUUAAUCAUUUAACAUCUUUGUUUAAAGGAUUUAUUUAAAUUUUUUCUUGCAGGCAUUUGUUCCACAAUUACACUUAUUUUGAUUGAGCAAAGAAAUUAAUUAGGUUUUUGAAAACAUUAAGUCGCAAAUGUCUUGACCAAGAGUAUGAAGAGGAGAUAAAAUCUAAUUGACUGGUCAAUUUAUUGUAUCCUGUGAAUUCUUAACAUCUGUUUUUGUGAAUACAAUUACAAUGUGACAUUUAUUGGGGGCCAAAUACACUUAUUAUACUUUCAAUUGAAAUCAUGUCUAAGAAAUUAAAAAUGUGAAAUUGAGAAUGGAAAUGGGGCAUGUGUCAAAGAGACAACAACCCGUCUAAAGAGUAAAAAACAAACAGCCAAAGGCUACCAAUGGUCGAAAAGUGUUUGCAACUUUUUUUUUAGAGUCAACAAUUGGUUAAGAUAUGCCUCUUUUUAAUUAAACAUUGUAUUCCAAUAACUAGCUGUAAAUUUCUUUGUACCAGAUGUUUUGUCUAUGUAUUUAUGUAAUUUGGAAAUAAUAUUAAUACUAUUUAAAAGACAAUUUUACCUACAUGACCUAUAUUUAUAGUUUUCAGCUGUUGUCAUAGAUGAUACAUAUUUAUUUGUUGAUAAUUUAAUCUUUAUGGAACAAAGGCAGCAUAAUUUUAUGGCUUGUGUAAUAACCACAUUAAUUUUCAUUGUCACUUAAUUAGUGGGUGAAGAUUGUAUUAGUUAUAUAGUUUAAUCAGUUACCUUCUUUUCUGCAUUCUGUCUAAACAGCAGCAUUUUUUAAAACUUUUUCAUUUUUUGCUUAUCCAAUUUAAUCUUGAUUAUUUCAUUUUCCGUAAGGGAGAAUUAAAAAAAAUAUAUAUUAUAAGUUUAUGCUUAACAAGUAUCUUGCUGCUAUAUAGUUAUAACUUAUAGGCAAACUGUUUUCAGGCAAUGCCAUUGUUUAGAGCUACAUGUAAAUAAGUGCUCAUCUGACUUUGAUAAGGGUUCUUUUCUAUAUACAUGUACUACAUUUUUUUACAGCCCAGUUCAAACUGUUUUCAACUUUCACACAAGGCGGUUAAGACAAUUCUCAGUGUUAACUUUAACCUCACAAUAUAAAUGAAACUUCAUGUGGUUAUUUAGAAGUCUAGAUUUCUCAAAAGGUGAAUUGUAGAUGAAAAUUACAUUGUUAAUGUAAUGUUCCCUCACCUUUUGAGCUAGACAGUUGAGAUGACAAGUGGUUUUCUAUUAAAUGUUGUUACAUGGUUGUACAUAAUAUAAUUAAGACAUGUAAUGUGCUUAAUGUUGGAACAUAAUUAUAACUAUUAUUUAACUCUAGUCUGUCUGACGUAAACAGAUUGUUUCUACUCUUUAAAAUGUGUUGGAAGUAUGACUUGUAAAUGUCGGAAUUCUUGAAGUGAGAGAUUGAGUGAGUCAGUUAAAAUUUCAUAAAAAUGGCAUUUAUUUUCGUAUCUAUACAUUGGCAAAUUAUUAAUUUACUUAUUAGGAUUUGUUAUGAAAUUAAAUUACAUUUUGUAAAUAUAUUUAUCAGUAUUAAAUUAUUCCAAUUCAGAAUUUUUUAGCUAUUCUUGUUUUAUGGUUAAACCACAGCUUUCUUCAUAAGAAUAAUUGCUUUGAAUAAUGGCAAUCGAGGUGCACAUUUUAAAGAGUAGCAUAAUUAUAUAAAAGAGCCGUUUUAUAUUUUUUUUAUUUAGAUUUAUUAGUGCAUUGUUUCGUUAUGUGAUAGAUUUUGUUUUUAUUUUGUUACUUUUGGUGUGAAUGUUAACAUUAUUAUCUGAAAUUUUAACAGUACUGAUUUACCUCAGAAAAGUAUAUAUAUAUUUGUUGUAGAAAGACCUCAGAACAGUCUAUAAUUGUUGUUUGAUGUAAUAUUUAGAAGUAAGAUAUGUUCUGUUUUGAAAGAAAAUCUUUAUGCUACAAAUUAUGAAUGAUCUAUUGAACGGUUAGAAUUAUAUCACAUGUUCUUCUGUACCCAUGGGAUAUAAAUAAGUUAUAGAAAACAGGAAGAAAUGAUUUUAGGACUGUCUCGUUGUGUACACCUUGUAUCAUGUCUACAUCCCCACAUCUUUUGCUUUACUUCAUGUCUAAAAAAAAUUAAUGCAGUUAUUUGCUUUGAAAUAAAUUCUAAUUCGUAAAAUAAAUAGCAUGAAUACAUUGUUUGUAAUAUUUAUACACACAAGCAAUCAAAUAUAGAUAUAAAAAAUAAGCUGAGAUGUUUGCAAAACCUUUUUCUCAGUAUAUCUUUCCUAUGAUAACCUAGUCUCAGUCUUUUACACACAACUUUCCAGUUUUUAACUCCGAUGCAGACUUGUCUUUUGAUUAAGUUUAACUCAAAUAAGUUACGCAAUAAUCUUGAAUGUUAUUUUCAGAAAAAAUAUUUAAAUCUGAUCAAACAAAAUACAAUAAUAUCAAUUUGUUGAAUUUUUGUUUAUCCUUUAUCAUGUUUAUCAAUUUAAUAUGAAAAAGUCUUCCUUAGCAAGCUUAUUAUUUCACUCUGAUAGGUAAAAAAUGAAGAUAAAAUAUAAGUGUAUUUUAAUGAUCUAUGUUUUUAUCUGUAAUUUUAGACUUCCAUACAUUUUGAACUACAUUUGAGACGAGUCCUGAUUUCAUUUCUUCUUCUCUAUUAAUUGCAUAUAUGAAAGCUAAUUUAUUGUAUUAGUAUGCUUUGGUACAUGUAUGUUGGUGGUUAUUUACAGUCAAAAUUUAAAAUUUUAUUCUCCCUAACAGAUGGACCAAGAAAAGAUUCACAGACUUUUCUAUGUCCAAACAAGGAAACAUUAAAACCACAUUCAUUAUUGGUUAAAAAAGAUAUGAAAGAUUUUUAACCUUGCCUUAAAAUACAAAAUAUAAGUAUUUUCUUGAAGUUUUCUAGUAAAAUAUACCAUACAGCUUUUACUGCAUGUAGAGUAUCAUUAACCAUUGAAGAUGUUGUUAAAAAAUGAAUCAUGUAUAAGUCAAAAUCAUUUACUGGUUAAUAAUCAAAACAAUGUUUAAUCAUGAAUAUAAAUACAUGUAUUAUGAUUGAUAAUAUAAACUCAUUAAAGCAUUACUAUAAAAUUCAAAAACAAUUGACAAUUUAAACAAAAUUGAAGAAAAAUACGGUUGAUAAAUUUUUUGUAUUUAUUUACAAUUUUUUAAAAACCUGUGUGCUUAUUUUUUCUUACUAAAAAUAGUUUUUUUUUGUUUAAUAAGAAAAAAAUGAGCACAGAAUAACUCUUUGAAGUAAACCUGGCAUUACUAGUACAAAUGAUAUUGUGAUGAAUGUUCUGUAAAAUUGGGAGUAUGUGCGAGAGUCGCUGAUCAGGUUAACAAAAGUAUGAAACAGAAACUUAAUUUCAAAUAACUGAUCUCAUUGACAUUGUUUUGCAUGUUUUGUAAAAUAAAUAUAUUUCAAUGACAUGAAUUCAUUAAUUAUUUGUCUAUC
Molecule: long non-coding RNA, 4020 nt
Filed under: Mytilus galloprovincialis (Mediterranean mussel)
Lineage: Eukaryota; Metazoa; Mollusca; Bivalvia; Mytilida; Mytilidae
Source: RNAcentral